AAUCAAUCAAUUGUCUUCUUUACUUCCGUAUUUAUUUAUGCGUUUCACCUCGCUAUCUAUCUACUUCUAUAUAAACCGGUUCCUCGAAGCUUGCUGCCAUUCGAUUGAGCAAAGAGAUUCAGGCUUCGUUCUUUGGAAAAUUUUGAUGCUGAUUGCGAUAACAGAGAAAUCUGUGAUGGUGCUAAGUGGCUCACGGGGAUUCUGUUACACAUUGGAAUUGAAAAAUGAGCAAGAAGCAAAACAAAUGAAGAAGAAGAAGAUUAGAACUCACUUUCAUGCUAUUUUGUUAACUGGCGGUUGUUGAGUAAUGGUAACUGGGGGUUGUUGAAUCAUGGUAUUAGUGUGAUAUGCAUCUUUCUACGUAUUAAUGAAUGUUCUUUAUUUUCUUUGUUAGACUGGAAACCGUUUCAUGGAUAGAGGCGUGAGCAAGGUAACUUUGGCUAACUGUUUGCGUUGGUAAUAUAUGGUUUUUUUUUUCUUGAACAACAAAACAUAUGGUUAUCUAUGUAGAUUUUAGUCUAUAUUCUUUUAACUGCUGUUGCUUUCUCCCUCUUCAGGAGUUGAAAACCCAAUAGCUUCUGCAACCCUAGCUGGUGAUUUAGGAAUUGGGGCUGAACAGCUUCUGCUGAUGUGAAAAGAUCACACCUUGCUUCUCUGCAGUAAUGUAGAAGGUACGUUCUCUGGUCUCUUUGUUGGCUUUUCUGUAUUUUAUCAUUUUGGUCUGCACUAUUGUUUUUGUUUGUGGAAGAUUCAGGGUAAAUGAUGAUGAUUUGCUGAAGAUCAAGAACACUUAUCGUCCUAUCCUCUCAAGAAAGAGAAAGGGUUUAUGGUAUGUAUAUAAAGUCAAUAAUAUUGUUACAAUUCAAAAGCAAAUAUAAAGUCAUUGUUUAUAAUUUGAUCAAAAUCGUCAUGUUUCACUAUGAUAAUAGAAAAGGUAGGUAAUUUCCUUUUGUUUACCUUUUAAUCAUUCUUGCAUAUUAUUGAGCUUUUCGAAUAACUCAGCUAUGGCGUUCCAAAUCUUAGUCAAUCACUCAAUCUCCCGUAGUAGCCAUCAAAGGCAAGAUAGAAAUAGCUUUGGGUUAGGUCGCAAAACUCAAAGAAAAAAAGAAACAAAGCUGGAGAAACCUAAAACGCUUUCACUGGGAGAUUGGAAGAGCAUAUGUCCACGAAUAACUGCUUAGGCAAUUGUAAAAAUAUUUAGAGUAAUACAAAUCACAUUUGUAUUUCCUACAAGAAGAUUAGUUAAGUCUAUCCUGCGGCCACUUCCUCAUUUAUUGUUAUCUUGAUUUUCUUUAUGAUAAAACCAUAGCUACCUCUUUUAUUUUUCUUUUAAUUUACUUAAUAUUUAGUUUGAUUGUAAACUUUUCUAUUGACACAGACUAAAAGAAAGACAGUUAAUUAAAAUAGAAGCAUUUUAUCUAAACAAAGCAGAAAUGACAAAGCCAAGUUUUAAUUUAUUUAUUUCACAAUUAUCAUUCCUCUUCUUGAAAAUAUCUAAAAUAAUAUACCUCGAAAAUCACAUGUGUCGUAAUGUCACUUCUUAUCGUAUCUAAAUUAAUCUUAACUUGCGUGAACAUCAACUUCAACCCAUCAAACUAUAUUAAACAAAAAUCAUUAUAUUAAAAAGAGACCUGACAACGCGUACACAAAU
Brassica rapa (field mustard) is the source of this 1651-nucleotide long non-coding RNA. RefSeq lists it as uncharacterized. NCBI's taxonomy places the organism in Eukaryota, Viridiplantae, Streptophyta, Magnoliopsida, Brassicales, Brassicaceae. The record is from RefSeq and is a predicted model, not a curated record.